This 695-nucleotide ribosomal RNA is filed under the name Fulgogasparrea decipioides. Its description in RNAcentral is "mitochondrial SSU rRNA". It matches the Rfam family "Bacterial small subunit ribosomal RNA", at positions 385 to 1158 of the family's 1533-position model. The record is from RNAcentral. Lineage: Eukaryota; Fungi; Ascomycota; Lecanoromycetes; Teloschistales; Teloschistaceae.
UGUAUAGCAAUUGCUAAUUGCACUAAAAAUUUUAGUGUAAAAUCGAUUUUCUCGAAUAAAAUUCUGGGUGGAAUUUUGAUAAUGACAAUGUCUAUCCAUUAGUCUUGACCAAAUUACGUGCCAGCAGUCGCGGUAAUACGUAGAAGACAAGUGUUAUUCAUCUUUAAUAGGUUUAAAGGGUACUUAGACGGUAAAUAAAGCCUCAAAAAGGGACUAAUUUGCUAGAGUUUUAUGUGAAGAAGUAUUAAAGUACUACUGGUGUAGAGAUGAAAUUCAGUUAUACCUUACAUGGCACAGGUUAAGGCGAAGGCAUCUUCUUAUGUAAAAACUGACGUUGAAGGACGAAGGCUUUGUGUAUCGAACAGGAUUAGAUACCCUAGUAGUCUAAGCAGACAAUGAUGAAUGUCAUAGAUUAGAUGUAAUUUGAUCUAUAAAUGAAAGUGUAAGCAUUCCACCUUAAGAGUAAUUUGGCAACAUUGGAACUGAAAUCAUUAGACCGUUUCUGAAACCAGUAGUGAAGUAUGUUGUUUAAUUUGAUAAUCCGCAAAAAACCUUACCACAAUUUGAAUAGAUAUAUUUUAUCAUACAAGCGUUGCACGGCUGUCUUCAGUUAAUGUCGUGAGAUUUUGGUUAGUUCCAUUAAAUUAACGUAAACCCUUACUCUAUUUUUAAAUAAAGUAGUUCACCGCUAUAUU